Acanthosepion pharaonis is the source of this 100-nucleotide non-coding RNA. NCBI's taxonomy places the organism in Eukaryota, Metazoa, Mollusca, Cephalopoda, Sepiida, Sepiidae. The record is from the annotation of a GenBank genome assembly.
CGUUGAAACACAGGUUUCCCUAUGAUCACCGGAGUUAAGCAACAUUGAGCCUGGUCAGUACCUAAAUGGACGACCGCUUGGGAAUAUCAGGGGCUGUAAG